GACGAACGCUGGCGGCGUGCUUAACACAUGCAAGUCGAACGGAAAGGCCCUGCUUUUGUGGGGUGCUCGAGUGGCGAACGGGUGAGUAACACGUGAGUAACCUGCCCUUGACUUUGGGAUAACUUCAGGAAACUGGGGCUAAUACCGGAUAGGAGCUCCUGCUGCAUGGUGGGGGUUGGAAAGUUUCGGCGGUUGGGGAUGGACUCGCGGCUUAUCAGCUUGUUGGUGGGGUAGUGGCUUACCAAGGCUUUGACGGGUAGCCGGCCUGAGAGGGUGACCGGCAACAUUGGGACUGAGAUGCGGCCCAGACUCCUACGGGAGGCAGCAGUGGGGAAUAUUGCACAAUGGGCGGAAGCCUGAUGCAGCAACGCCGCGUGCGGGAUGACGGCCUUCGGGUUGUAAACCGCUUUCGCCUGUGACGAAGCGUGAGUGACGGUAAUGGGUAAAGAAGCACCGGCUAACUACGG
RNAcentral lists this ribosomal RNA (467 nucleotides) under uncultured bacterium. RNAcentral's name for it is "partial 16S ribosomal RNA". It matches the Rfam family "Bacterial small subunit ribosomal RNA", at positions 28 to 506 of the family's 1533-position model. The record is from RNAcentral.